RNAcentral lists this transfer RNA (76 nucleotides) under Candidatus Anoxymicrobium japonicum. RNAcentral describes it as "Actinobacteria bacterium HGW-Actinobacteria-3 tRNA-Lys". It matches the Rfam family "tRNA". Rfam says of the family: Transfer RNA (tRNA) molecules are approximately 80 nucleotides in length. Their secondary structure includes four short double-helical elements and three loops (D, anti-codon, and T loops). Lineage: Bacteria; Bacillati; Actinomycetota; Candidatus Geothermincolia; Candidatus Geothermincolales; Candidatus Anoxymicrobiaceae. The record is from RNAcentral.
GGGCCAGUAGCUCAGUUGGUAGAGCACCGGACUUUUAAUCCGGGUGUCGCAGGUUCGAGACCUGCCUGGCCUACCA